RNAcentral lists this ribosomal RNA (381 nucleotides) under uncultured eukaryote. Its description in RNAcentral is "SSU rRNA". It matches the Rfam family "Eukaryotic small subunit ribosomal RNA", at positions 587 to 972 of the family's 1831-position model. The record is from RNAcentral.
AGCUCCAAUAGCGUAUAUUAAAGUUGUUGCGGUUAAAAAGCUCGUAGUUGGAUUUCUGUUGAGGGCGAGUGGUCCGGACCAUGUCUGUGUAUCUACUGUGGCCUCGGCAUCCUCUCGAAAUACGCAUCUGCGCUUGAUUGCGUGGUGUGGCAUUCGGGACUUUUACUUUGAGGAAAUUAGAGUGUUCACGGCAGGCCAUUGCCCUGAAUAUAUUAGCAUGGAAUAAUAAUAUAGGAUCUCGAUUCUAUUUUGUUGGUUUCAGGAGUUGAGGUAAUGAUUAAUAGGGACAAUUGGGGGCAUUCGUAUCAACACGUCAGAGGUGGAAUUCUUGGAUUGUGUUGCGACGAACUACUGCGAAAGCAUUUGCCAAGGAUGUUUUCA